CAGUAGCCGCGGGAAUACGAAGGGGGCUAGCGUUGUUCGGAUUUACUGGGCGUAAAGCGCACGUAGGCGGAUCGAUCAGUCAGGGGUGAAAUCCCAGAGCUCAACUCUGGAACUGCCUUUGAUACUGUCGAUCUGGAGUAUGGAAGAGGUGAGUGGAAUUCCGAGUGUAGAGGUGAAAUUCGUAGAUAUUCGGAGGAACACCAGUGGCGAAGGCGGCUCACUGGUCCAUUACUGACGCUGAGGUGCGAAAGCGUGGGGAGCAAACAGGAUUAGAUACCCCCGUAGUCCCUGUCUCUUAUAC
RNAcentral lists this ribosomal RNA (301 nucleotides) under uncultured bacterium. RNAcentral describes it as "partial 16S ribosomal RNA". It matches the Rfam family "Bacterial small subunit ribosomal RNA", at positions 509 to 807 of the family's 1533-position model. The record is from RNAcentral.